AAUAGAUACCCCGGUAGUCCACGCCGUAAACGAUGAGUGCUAGGUGUUGGGGGGACCCCCUCAGUGCCGCAGGUAACCCAAUAAGCACUCCGCCUGGGGAGUACGGUCGCAAGACUGAAACUCAAAGGAAUUGACGGGGGCCCGCACAAGCGGUGGAGCAUGUGGUUUAAUUCGAAGCAACGCGAAGAACCUUACCAGGGCUUGACAUCCCGCUGACCGGUGUAGAGAUACGCCUUUCCCCUUCGGGGGACAGCGGUGACAGGUGGUGCAUGGUUGUCGUCAGCUCGUGUCGUGAGAUGUUGGGUUCAGUCCCGCAACGAGCGCAACCCUUGUUUCUAGUUGCCAGCACUUCGGGUGGGCAUUCUAGAGAGACAGCCGGUGAAAGCCGGAGGAAGGUGGGGAUGACGUCAAAUCAUCAUGCCCCUUAUGUCCUGGGCUACACACGUGCUACAAUGGCUGGUACAAAGGGCAGCGAACCCGCGAGGGGGAGCCAAUCCCAAAAAACCAGUCUCAGUUCGGAUUGCAGGCUGCAACUCGCCUGC
This 542-nucleotide ribosomal RNA is filed under the name uncultured bacterium. RNAcentral's name for it is "bacterial SSU rRNA". It matches the Rfam family "Bacterial small subunit ribosomal RNA", at positions 777 to 1319 of the family's 1533-position model. The record is from RNAcentral.